UUUGUUGUUGACCUAAAGUCUUAAACCACUUGCUGCAUUCUUGUUGGUUGUGCAGGAGGCUCUACUUCUGCUUUUCAAAGAUGUAGGGUUGUUUAAUUGUGUAUCUGUUUGCAGCCUUUUUUAUGUGCAAAUGUAAACGUGGCCAGCAGCAACUUAUUUAGAUUUAAAGUAACAAGAGAACCUA
Molecule: long non-coding RNA, 184 nt
Organism: Xiphophorus hellerii (green swordtail)
Lineage: Eukaryota; Metazoa; Chordata; Actinopteri; Cyprinodontiformes; Poeciliidae
Exons: 3
Source: RefSeq, a predicted model, not a curated record